RNAcentral lists this long non-coding RNA (430 nucleotides) under Ananas comosus (pineapple). Its description in RNAcentral is "long non-coding RNA (ACOM_LNC016495)". The record is from RNAcentral. Lineage: Eukaryota; Viridiplantae; Streptophyta; Magnoliopsida; Poales; Bromeliaceae.
AAAGAUAAACUGCAUUUAUGGAUAUGCAACAAAUUGUACUCUGAGAUAUGGAGUAGAACAAAACACUCUUAAAAUUAAGUUAAAAAUCAAAAUGAACUCUUAUUGAAGGUACAGAGUCUCAUAUAUAAAAUUCAAAAGUUUAGGAUGAAUUUUCAAAUUUGGGAUAGAAGUUCUUGAACUAAUUGUGCAUUUUCCCCUUUGUAAAUCUAUUAUCCGGCUAGGUACCAAUCAAUUAUUAAAAUAAACACAAUAUAGAUAGAGAAAUUUUUUGAUUCAUAACGUAUGAAUGUUUAAAACUGUAACUUUAAAUAUAUAGACCUUAAUUAUGAACAAUGGUUGUUUAACAGAUAAGUUGCGCUCUAAAUUAAUUUCGGAAGAAGACUUCCUUGUUAUAAUUAUUCCACAUAAAAUUUGCGACAACUAAUUAAAU